AUGGGCAGCCCGGCUCGGCCCCCCGCGGGCACCGGCACCGGCAGCGGGCAGGGCUCCCCGGGGAGCGGCGGGAGCUGCCUGCCCGGAUCGGGGCAGCUGGCGCUUUUGGGGUGGGGAAGGGAAGGGGGGGCCGUAGCCCCUGCCCCCCGUCUCUUCCCGGGAGCAGCCUCAAGCCGCCGCGCCGCGUCCCCCCUUCCCUCCCGGGAAAGUUGCGUGUCCCGAUGCCGGGCUGCCGGCACCCCUGCCCGAGGCGGCCCCGGCCCCCUCCCCACUCCCCUCUCCGGCCCCGGCCCGCGGCGGCACUCACCGGGCGGAGGGUGGGCAACGCGGCCGAGCUCCUCCCGCGGGCGGCACUGCCGGCGGCUCUGCCGUGUGCCGGCAGCGCAGGACCCGCUGCCACACACACACACACACACACACACACACGGCGCCGCUCUCCCGGCGCCCACUCUGCGCUCGGCUGCCACCUGCACGGCCCCGGCGCCCCGCACAGACCCGUCACACACGCAGGCACACUGCGCUGCACGCACACACUCCCAGCCCCGCACACCCAGCACCACACACCGCGCUGCACACACGCACACAGCCCCGCACGCACCCCCCGUAGCCCUCCCAGCACUGCACGCACAGCCCAGUGCACGCACAGCGCCUUUACAGACCUGUCCUGCAACCCCACAACCCUUCACACACACCCCUGCGCGGACACCCGCAUCCCGCAUGCAGACCCCUUUGCAGACCCGACCCCCGCACACACACACCUUCCUCCGUGUGCACGCACACACACACAGAGUGUGCAAACACUUCUUUGCAUACGCUUUCUGCAGUCACCCCCGGAACAUGCACGCACAACCUCCCUUUGCACACACACCCUGCAUGCCUCCGCCCCUGCCCACGCACCCCCUUUGCACACCCGCACGGAACCCCCUGCACGCACUCUCCCUGCACAUGCAAGCACAACCCUCAUUUGAACACUGUCCCUGCGCCCUCCCACGGGGAGCCCUGCACGCACACCCCCUUUGCACACCCGCACGAACCCCCUUGCCCGCACCUCCCCCGCGCAGGACCUCUUCCCCAUCCUGUGGGAGCGCUGGCUGUGCCCGGUCCCUGCCCGUGCCGGGUCGGGCUGUGCCGGGCCGGGCUGUGUCGUGCCGGCUCGGGCCGGGCCGCGGCAGCCGCCCCGGGCUCCCGGUGCCCAGCGCAGCCCGCGCCGGCGGUGCCCGGCCGGCCCGGCCGUGGUGCUGA
This 1242-nucleotide long non-coding RNA is filed under the name Apteryx haastii (Great spotted kiwi). RNAcentral's name for it is "lncRNA (ENSAHAG00000009667.1)". The record is from RNAcentral. Lineage: Eukaryota; Metazoa; Chordata; Aves; Apterygiformes; Apterygidae.